This 499-nucleotide small RNA is filed under the name Histoplasma capsulatum. RNAcentral describes it as "hypothetical RNA". Lineage: Eukaryota; Fungi; Ascomycota; Eurotiomycetes; Onygenales; Ajellomycetaceae. RNAcentral also lists the same sequence under 1 other name. The record is from RNAcentral.
GACACACACUUAAACCUCCUACGCACGCACUGACAGCCGAUUUCAAUACUAAAUCCUCACUUGAUUUCGCAUGGACAGACCACCCGACGAAUUGCUGUUAGUUAAAGCCUUUCGUUCGGGUCAAUUUCGGGUCAACCAUGCGGAACGUCGCUUAACUUUUUUGGCUUAGGAAUCAUCUAGUUAUGCACAGUACUGUGCUAGUUAACUAAGUUAACUAUGUAUGUAGAUGGUUAUAAUCCAAUUCCUCAAACCGAUCAUUUCCCCCUCGUGCUAAAAGCAAAAAAUAAAAUAAAAAUAAUAGUUGUACAUAUAUCCCCUCAUCUUGUAGAUUUAAUUUAAUCUUAAGGAUGGAAAGAAGAAGUUUAUCACUUGCUGUGUUUGUUGUGCUUGUACAUGUUCCAUUGUAGGAACUUGCUCUUUGAGAGUAGAGUUUGGACAAAUGUUGAUGGGGGGGGUUGCCCUGAACUUUAACUAAACUCUUUAACUAUUAAUAGAGGCA